GGGAUUAGGUAGAAAAUCCCAUCCUCACCGACGCAACUGGCGGAGUCCCCUACAGCCAAGUUUAAUUCCGAACAACGAGUAGAUGUUUUUCUAAGGCCACCAGGUUGCUUCGGGUAGGAGUAGGAAAUGCCUGCAUGACGAGUUGGGUAAACGCGGAUACCCCAGCCACCGAUGGGCUUUUUGUCCACGAGCGCGGACCUACCGCAUGGCUCCCAUUUGCGAACACGUGCCCGAAGCCAGCAUUUAGAUUUGCGGGGGAUUGAACUUUUGUUUUUUUUUCUAUCUAAUCCUUUGGUUGGCCAUGUGGACCGGCAACAGGGAAUUACACCUACUCUUCAAUUAAUGAACACUCAUGCAGCACAUGCCGCAAUGUACC
Molecule: long non-coding RNA, 376 nt
Filed under: Elaeis guineensis (African oil palm)
Lineage: Eukaryota; Viridiplantae; Streptophyta; Magnoliopsida; Arecales; Arecaceae
Description: long non-coding RNA (EGUI_LNC004092)
Source: RNAcentral